GUAAGAGAUAUUUUUAAGGCUACUAAAAUGAGGGAGUAGGCACAGGACAUCACAAACCCAUUUGUGUUUGCUGAUUACUUUCUGUGGAAAUGAAAGGUACAUUUUCUGCUGUCUUCAUGAUGGGAGGUAGUUUCACAACUAGAAAGAAGGAGCCCCACGAAAGUUAGGCUCCUGUCCUUCCACAACUGGGGUGAGAGAUGCUAUAUUUCUUGAUGAUGAUAGUACAAGAUGAUGGAUCCCAGGUCCUAGAGAAAGAAGACAUCUCUGAGCUAUGAAUUGCAAGAAACUUUGAAAAGAUCUACACCUCAAUGAGGUGGAGAUGGAUUUAUAAUGACAAGUUUUCUAAUGUAAAUGCUCUAUGAAAAGGGCAGUAAUGGACCAAGAAUCGGGAGGAAGCCUGUUUAAAGUUUGUUAAGCUGACAGGAAUGUUGAGGCCAUCUUGAUCAUUAAAAACCAUGAGUUUAUAAUUAUCCAAGCACCUCAUUAUUUAUGCAAUAUUGCUACUAUUCUAUCAGACAGUGUUUACCAACGUUUCUUCAUAUUAGGGCAUUGCAUAGAAAUUGCUAAUUUUUGAAAAGCUCUGUGGAUUAGUCAGCUCAGAGUCAAGAUUGGAGCAGAUCAGCUUUCCUAAGUCAAACCCAACUGCCUUGAGGGGUAGGACCUCAGUAUCUCAUGAUCUCUUUGUUGUAAUUCUGAUGGAUACCUAAUUUCAGAGGUUUGAGGAAUGGAAGUGAUCUUGCUAGUUAAGUGAAAACAAUGUAUUUUCCUAUCAUCAUUCCCCCUUUGCCAUCAGAAUGAUGCCCCAACUUUCCAUCAGCUGGUUGAGCCUCACUCCCCCUGUCCCAUUCUGGCUCUUUUCAUUCUUUGCUGACUUGUCUGCUUCUGUUCUCUGUUUCCAAAGGACACGGUUUGCAGUUUGUGUUGCCGCAGUCUUGAUGCCGAAGUUUUGACUGUCAUGAUCAACCGUAGCUACACACCCAGUCUCACCUGCCUUAGUAGACUUUCUUUCACCGUGCCAUCCUUCACUGAUGGUCUCUGUUUAAAGGAAAUGAUUGAAUUUGUCAAAGCAACAAACUCAGAAACCACCUGCUGGCUAUCGUUAAAAGGAGUGAAGUUCAUGGGAUGAUUUUUCACUCCGUUCAUCCAGUGACACUGACGUCGACACUGUUGCUAGGUCACACCAGGGAAUUUCAAGACCUUGUUCGUUUUUAUAUCAUGUAUUUUCCCUUUGUUGGAAACGUCUUCAAAUUCUUUGUUUGAUAAAUAAUAACUUAAGUUAAGUUUGAUCUGGAGGAGAGAUACCUGUAUCCACUAGACAAUUUUGCUCAUUAUUCUCUGCAAUAAAAACGACAGUGAUACUGGGAUUAGAUUGUGA
This 1375-nucleotide long non-coding RNA is filed under the name Oryctolagus cuniculus (rabbit). RNAcentral describes it as "lncRNA (ENSOCUG00000038396.1)". The record is from RNAcentral. Lineage: Eukaryota; Metazoa; Chordata; Mammalia; Lagomorpha; Leporidae.